This is an RNA transcript of Glycine soja, 5452 nucleotides long. It is a transcript of the gene named ENHANCER OF AG-4 protein 2-like, with no coding region annotated. The transcript is spliced from 14 exons. The record is from RefSeq and is a predicted model, not a curated record. Lineage: Eukaryota; Viridiplantae; Streptophyta; Magnoliopsida; Fabales; Fabaceae.
UUCCCAUUAGGUCCCAUACUACUCCUUCUGGCCCAAGACAAAGCAAAGCCAUUUUCACAAAAACAAAAUCUACUAUUCUUCCUGCGAUAGCCUCGCCUCGCCUCGCAAUUCCUGCAAUUCCCUCACCCGUCUCAGAUUCUCUCUCCUCCGCCGCGUGCCGUCCCCUCCGCCGCCGCAAGAUCUCUGCAGCGUUUCCGCGGGAUUUCUCUAGGGUUUUCUGAUCGUUCCUCUCCUUCUCCCACGACGUCGUUUUUCAAUUGCGGUCACUCUGUGUAGCGUCCACGAGCCGCCAUGGCUCCCGGGCGUCGACGCGGAGCGAACAAGGCGAAGGCCAAUGGCCACUUGAGUUUGGGCGAUCUUGUGCUCGCUAAGGUCAAGGGCUUCCCCGCUUGGCCUGCUAAGAUAAGCAGGCCUGAAGAUUGGGAGAAAGUCCCUGAUCCGAAGAAAUAUUUUGUUCAAUUCUUUGGUACAAAAGAAAUAGCUUUUGUUGCCCCAGCAGAUAUUCAGGCAUUUACCGGUGAGGCUAAAAAUAAGUUGUCUGCUCGUCUUCAAGGCAAGACAAAGUACUUUGCCCAAGCUGUGAAGGAAAUAUCUGCAGCAUUUGAUGUGAUGCAGAAACAGAAGGCUAGUGGUUUGGCAGAUGACACCGAUGAUUCUCAUAUUGGUUCAGAGGCUCCUUCUAAUGAUGGGGUAGUAGGUAACCAAAAGGAUGCUGCUGAUGCUGUGGUAUCAAAUAUAGAAAAAAAUAAUAUUGAUAUGGAUAAUGUUUGCUCUAAUUUGGAGCACUAUACACAGAGAAUAGGAGAAAAUGACAGCCAAGAUGAAAAGCUCUCUGUAUCUAACCAUCCAAAUGAAAGUUCUUCUGUUUCAUCACCCAUGAUAAAAAACAAAUUAGCCAUUGGUUCAGAGACAAAGAAGAAUGCUAACAAAUCUAGUUUUAAAGGUGCUAGUAAUGUUAAUGAUUUUGGCCAAGAUGAUAAUGGGCAUAGUGAUUUAACCAAUGGAACUAAGCCAAGAAAGCUUGAUAAUGGCUCAAGGAAAAAAAGUGAAGCUGCAGGUGGUAGUAAUAGAAAUGGUGGAUCAUCUACUGGAAAAUUUAUGAAGGAGGGAAAUUGUACUGGCCGUGGUGAUCUUUCUAGGUCUGGAGAGACAUUGAAAGCUGGGAAGAAAAGGAAAAAUACAUUUUCUGUUAAAUUAGAUUCUCCGGAUACUCUUAAAUCAAGCGAUAAUGGUACUACUGGGGAAAAAGAUAGCAACCUGAUGAAAGUGAAAACAAGUCAUGAGGUAAAAAAUGAGCUGCAGGAGAUCUCAUUUGAUUCUGAGGAUGCUGAUGGUAAAAGUUCUAGUAUGAGGAAGAAGACCCAACUUCAUGCAAAGCAUAAUGUAGGAGGAGCAAAUGAAUCUUUACAUGCUACCAAGAAGUUGAAGCGUAUGGAUGCCAAAGAUGAUUCAACUUUAGGGUAUACUUCAAAGGUUCUGAAAAGAGCUUCGCCUGGCUCUACUGUUAUUGAAGACAAACCAUUUAAAAAAUUAGAAUCUAAGAAGUCUACACCAAAUUUGAAAACAGAAAAAAGCUUGCCAUCAAGGAGUCAAACUGGGGGUGCAGGUUCUGAUGAUUUUGUCCAUGAGUUGCUACCUGGAACUAAACAUCAUAGCCAGGUUCAGCAAAUUAUGCCUGAUUCUGCCGGCAUUGCUUCUGAUGAAAAGAACGAAAGAAGUUCUCUUAGACCAAAAGGUGAUACAAAUAAUGUUGUGAUAAAACAACUAGAGAGGAAACGUAGAGCUGUUUGCCUUUUUGAUGACGAUGACGACGAUGAACCUAAAACUCCUGUUCACGGAGGAGCUGCAAAAAAUAUGAAAUCGUCUUCUGUUUCAGAGUUCAAGAAGAGCAACAAUGUACACUCAGAGAAGUCUGAUGUUGUUCAGAUGGCUCAAAAAAAUUCUAGUGAACUUGAGGACACCCAUCUGAAAGAGCCAUCUUCUCAAUUACAUGAUGACCAUUUGUCUAUUCAGCAGCCCCUAAAAGAGAAAGAUGACGAAGUAAUUCCUGUGCAUGUUCCUCACAGUCCUGAAAAAUUAGAUUCGAAGCAGUUUCCCUCCAAUGUAGCAAAAUUAAGCUCUGUCUCUCCACUAAAAUCACCUCUGUUGGUACCUGCAACUAAGUCAAAUGCUGAGCGGAAUAAAGCUUCGAAACUGUCGCUUAAAAUUUCCAGUAAUGCUACUCAAAAGAGAGCAGAUCACGGGCCUUCAAAGUCUUCACAUAACCUUAGCUCUUCUCAGAAUCAAGUUGUGACUCAUAAAAAGAAGCUUGCAUUGUCUGCAGAAAUUUUUAAAACUACUCCGGAAACAUUGCCUCAGGCAGUUGAAGUUUUUGCUUCAACAGUUGGUUCUAAGGUUCCUGAUGCUCUACAUGUUGAUAGAUUGGAGGUGGGCACAGAAGAGAAAAAUAGUAUAUAUACUGGUUCUGGGACUCCUGAAUCUGCUAAAACUAUGAAGCAUCUUAUUGCGGCUGCCCUGGCGAAAAGGAAACAAGCUCAUUCGCAAUGUCUUCCUUCUGGCUUUCCCAAUGUUCAGGAUGGGACUCCUAGCCCCUCCGCAGUUCAGCCAUAUCUGCCUGUCUCGAGCAAUUUUGUGCAGGCAGAUAUACAGGGAGUUUAUGAGCACACAACAUUGGCUUCUCCACCAACUAAAGAGCUUCACUCUUCUUCUCGUAAUCAACUUGAUGCUGAUGACAUUGAGGAGAGGAGAGUUGGUUCAGUGCAAAGGGGUCUAGGAGGCUCGCUGAGUGGUGGUACUGAGGCUGCUGUUGCUCGUGAAGCUUUUGAAGGAAUGAUUGAAACAUUGUCAAGGACCAAGGAAAGCAUUGGCCGUGCAACUCGUCUUGCCAUUGAUUGUGCCAAGUAUGGCAUUGCCAACGAGGUUGUUGAACUUCUCAUCCGAAAGCUGGAAACUGAAACUAGUUUUCAUCGCAAAGUAGAUUUGUUUUUUCUUGUUGAUUCCAUCACCCAGUGCUCACAUAAUCAAAAAGGCAUUGCAGGAGCCUCCUACAUUCCUACUGUUCAGGCAGCGUUGCCACGUCUUCUUGGUGCUGCUGCUCCCCCUGGAGCAAGUGCCCGUGAAAAUCGUCGUCAGUGUCUCAAGGUUUUGAGGCUGUGGCUUGAGAGGAAAAUUUUUCCUGAAUCAGUUCUUCGCCAUUACAUGGAUGAUAUUGGAGUUUCAAAUGAUGAUAUGACAGUUAGCUUUUCUCUCAGACGUCCAUCUCGAGCAGAGCGAUCUGUGGACGACCCAAUUAGAGAAAUGGAAGGCAUGCUUGUUGAUGAGUAUGGAAGUAAUGCUACAUUUCAGCUGCCUGGGUUUUUAUCUUCACAUGCAUUUGAAGAAGAUGAAGAUGAAUAUGAAGAUGCUAUACCAAUCAAUUCGUGUAAGGAAACAUGUGAUGCGUCUCCAGCAGAUCCCCCACAUACCCUUGGAGAAUCAGAAACUUCUACUGUUACCCCAAAUGACAAGCGCCAUUGUAUCUUAAAGGAUGUGGAUGGUGAGCUGGAGAUGGAAGAUGUUUCAGGUCACCCAAAGGAUGAAAGACCCAUAUUUUUUGACAGUUAUGAUGAAAUUGAUUUGCAACAUCAGGACUCAGAUAGGAAUUUAGAUCCAACUUCAAACAUUUCAGAAGAGAUGUCAGCUACUCCAGAGGGUUCUCCUCCUAUGCCACUUGAUUCACCUCCCCCACCCCCACCUUUGCCUUCAUCACCUCCGCCACCUCCUCCUCCAUUAUCUCCAUCUCCCCCCCCACCUCCCCCACCCCCAAUGUUGCAACCCCCGCUUCCUCCUUUACCACCUUCAGCCCCUCAGGUGUCAUUGGUUCCUCAAUCGUCUGGACCAGCUCGGCCACUUCUCUCCCAGUCAUUAAUGCCACCUCAGUCAUCACAUCAGUCUUCCCCACAGUUGGGUUAUCAGCAGAGUGUACCUCAUGACUUUAGUGGCACUACUAAUUCAUCUGUGCAGGGUAACCAAAUAGUUCCAAUGGUUGGGAAUUCUUUUCCCGGAGGUCACAAUAAUGCAGUUGUCAAGAAUGAAGUAUUUCCACAGCCAACUGCUUAUGCUCCAACCGCAGGCUGCAGCUCCCAGGAACCUUCUGGUUUUAACCCUUCAAGGCAAUUAGAAUACGGACAGAAUGACAUGUACCUAAAUGCUCAAGUUCCUCAACCUAACCAUCAAUUUCAGCAGGGUAAUCCCCCAUUUGCUCAGAGGCACGCACAUCCUGCCCCACCCCAAAAUCCACCAAAUCUAUACUCAUAUUCAAAUCCUACAGUUCAGCAGCAUCUUCCACAUUCAUUCCAUCCUCCCUUCCCUUUACCAUCCCUUCCAGAUGGCCGAAGACAAUUUGUUGCUGAUGAGCAAUGGAGAGUGUCAUCAAGUGAAUUUAAAACAAACAAUCAACAUGGUGUAUGGAGAGGGAGAAAUCCUUCUUCAUGUCCUGGUCCACCCUAUGGGCAAGAAGGCCAUUUUCGGCCGUCACUUGAAAGGCCGCCAGUAAGCACUGUAGGUUUUCAGCGACCAAUUUCAGGCAACCUACCUGUUGCUCCAAUAGCAGGACAUGGUGUACCUCAGAUGAUGCCCUGUAGGCCAGACAUUCCUGCUGUUAAUAGUUGGAGACCCACUUGAAGUUGAUUUGAGUCUUCUUAUUAGUAGUAGUGGUGUUGCUGGUGGAUCAACAUGCAAGGUUAAAUUGUGUCUCAAAGUUAGAUUCGCCUGUGUAGUACAUACAACUUACCCGUGAAGAAAAUUUUGAAAACUUGUGGAGGCUUUUGACAGGAAUGUGUAUAUUGUAAUUUUUCCUGACAAUGUAUCCCAGGAACAUUUGCUUCCAAGUUUAGGCCCAUGUUUUUGACUUGGUUUUGGCAAAGCCAAAGAAGAUGAUGAUCAUUUUCUCAUGUUUUGAAUGUGAUAACUGAACACAAGAUUACAGUCCAACAUACAAAGACUGCUGAUUAUUGAGGGAUGUAGAUUCGAAAUUAGCAUGUGUAAGGCUCACUUUCGGUCAUUAUUUUGAAAGCCUCUACAGAAAAUGCAUGUCCAACGGGAUGGUCUGAAAUUCGUACCACAGAAAAGAGGACCAAUGGAUGAAUAAUGGAAUAACAACUAUCAAGUUUAGACUCAACAUUGUUGAGAGGGUUUACUAUUUAGGUAGGUUUUAUUUGUAUCUGCAAAAUCUUCAAAGAUGAAGCAAACCAAAUUUGCGGAACAAAUGUGUAUAUGGGAGCUAGGACUCCUUAACAAGGAGUGGUGGACCUUAUGACAAAAAGUGUACGGUAAAAUUUAUCCACGUUUAAAUUUCUGAAUAGUUUGUACACACAAGGGUGCGGUAAGGAUUUUUUUUUUUUAUACAUCAGAAAGGAAAAUCAACAGCAAAACCGACUAUCCAGAGUAUUUAUUUUAAUGGUUUAAUUACUCA